UGAUGAGUUGAUGAAGAAAGAAUAUACAAUGUUGAUAACAUGUAUAGUAAUCAACAUUGUCAUGGUUGGAUCAACGAUUCUCACAUCAGUGGCCCUGAACAUCAAGGCACAUUCGUCGCUGAUGUAUAUUUUGAAUGCUGACUUGUCCACACUGUCAGACACAAGUUUAAACAUUAUCAACAUCUUCAUAACACGACUCACAACCACCAAGAUAGGGUAUACCAUAUAUAAUCUCUUCACGAUCGACAACUCGACCAUCCUAAUG
Long non-coding RNA from Haliotis rufescens (red abalone), 265 nucleotides. RefSeq lists it as uncharacterized. The record is from RefSeq and is a predicted model, not a curated record. The transcript has 3 exons. NCBI's taxonomy places the organism in Eukaryota, Metazoa, Mollusca, Gastropoda, Lepetellida, Haliotidae.